Long non-coding RNA from Pectinophora gossypiella (pink bollworm), 645 nucleotides. RefSeq lists it as uncharacterized. NCBI's taxonomy places the organism in Eukaryota, Metazoa, Arthropoda, Insecta, Lepidoptera, Gelechiidae. The record is from RefSeq and is a predicted model, not a curated record. The transcript is spliced from 3 exons.
AAAAAAUAUUUUUGGUCUCGUUACUGAAAUUCUCUUGAUAUUUUCCUGUGCUACUUAUUUUCUAUUUUGUUAGAAUUUAUAGCUUAUAAGUUCAUCGAAUCGAGCCCUACUUCCCCGUUUUUGUGUCGACAUUCUACUGUAAAAACUUCUAGAACCAUUAUGUGUUUUGGAAAGAGCUGAUAUGAUAAAAAGUGUUAGAUGCUGAUCGACUUUGUGAUACUAACUCAUACUCGUACUAAGAGAUGCAAGCAACAAUAACAAGUCUCUUGAAGAAUGUUCCAGUCGGAGAGCUGGAAACAAUUGUGUCUGUAUAAGUUGUGGAAUAUCUUUGGCAAGCACUCAAGAAGACAAAAUCACAGGCCAUAGGCUUAUGGAAAAAAGUGAUAAGCGGUAUUAUAUAGAAAAACAAAUAUCUCCGAGACAGAUGCCUGAUGGAUGCUUGGAUUAAAGAUGGAUGGUUGUUUGCAGGAUGAGCUCACAUCAAAAGCAUUAAUAUCUAGUGAACAGUAAAGCUGUGUUAAGUCUCCCAUUGUAUUGUAUGUAGUUAGUAGGUAUUUAUGUUCAUAGAUGUUGGUUGUUAAACUACAUAUGAGCUUAAUCACUUUAUAUUAUUAUAUCAUUAAAUAAAUAAAAAAAAUAUGGGUA